RNAcentral lists this ribosomal RNA (906 nucleotides) under uncultured bacterium. Its description in RNAcentral is "bacterial SSU rRNA". It matches the Rfam family "Bacterial small subunit ribosomal RNA", at positions 8 to 904 of the family's 1533-position model. The record is from RNAcentral.
AGAGUUUGAUCCUGGCUCAGGAUGAACGCUAGCUACAGGCUUAACACAUGCAAGUCGAGGGGAAACGACAUCGAAAGCUUGCUUUUGAUGGGCGUCGACCGGCGCACGGGUGAGUAACGCGUAUCCAACCUGCCCACCACUUGGGGAUAACCUUGCGAAAGUAAGACUAAUACCCAAUGACGUCUCUAGAAGACAUCUGAAGGAGAUUAAAGAUUUAUCGGUGAUGGAUGGGGAUGCGUCUGAUUAGCUUGUUGGCGGGGUAACGGCCCACCAAGGCGACGAUCAGUAGGGGUUCUGAGAGGAAGGUCCCCCACAUUGGAACUGAGACACGGUCCAAACUCCUACGGGAGGCAGCAGUGAGGAAUAUUGGUCAAUGGGCGAGAGCCUGAACCAGCCAAGUAGCGUGCAGGAUGACGGCCCUAUGGGUUGUAAACUGCUUUUAUAAGGGAAUAAAGUGAGUCUCGUGAGACUUUUUGCAUGUACCUUAUGAAUAAGGACCGGCUAAUUCCGUGCCAGCAGCCGCGGUAAUACGGAAGGUCCGGGCGUUAUCCGGAUUUAUUGGGUUUAAAGGGAGCGUAGGCCGGAGAUUAAGCGUGUUGUGAAAUGUAGACGCUCAACGUCUGCACUGCAGCGCGAACUGGUUUCCUUGAGUACGCACAAAGUGGGCGGAAUUCGUGGUGUAGCGGUGAAAUGCUUAGAUAUCACGAAGAACUCCGAUUGCGAAGGCAGCUCACUGGAGCGCAACUGACGCUGAAGCUCGAAAGUGCGGGUAUCGAACAGGAUUAGAUACCCUGGUAGUCCGCACGGUAAACGAUGGAUGCCCGCUGUUGGUCUGAAUAGGUCAGCGGCCAAGCGAAAGCAUUAAGCAUCCCACCUGGGGAGUACGCCGGCAACGGUGAAACUCAA